CUGAUGGCUGCACUCAACAUUCAUUGCUGUCGGUGGGUUGCGGUCUGAAUCAACUCAUUGAUCAAUGAAUGCCAACUGCGGACCAAACA
Molecule: microRNA precursor, 89 nt
Organism: Sorex araneus (European shrew)
Lineage: Eukaryota; Metazoa; Chordata; Mammalia; Eulipotyphla; Soricidae
Source: Ensembl